UGGCCCYWAMMMCAUGCCAAGUCGAACGGUAGCACAGAGGAGCUUGCUCCUUGGGUGACGAGUGGCGGACGSCCYGAGUAAUGUCUGGGAAACUGCCCGAUGGAGGGGGAUAACUACUGGAAACGGUAGCUAAUACCGCAUAACGUCSCAAGACCAAAGAGGGGGACCUUCGGGCCUCUUGCCAUCGGAUGUGCCCAGAUGGGAUUAGCUAGUAGGUGGGGUAACGGCUCACCUAGGCGACGAUCCCUAGCUGGUCUGAGAGGAUGACCAGCCACACUGGAACUGAGACACGGUCCAGACUCCUACGGGAGGCAGCAGUGGGGAAUAUUGCACAAUGGGCGCAAGCCUGAUGCAGCCAUGCCGCGUGUAUGAAGAAGGCCUUCGGGUUGUAAAGYACUUUCAGCGAGGAGGAAGGUGUUGUGGUUAAUAACCRCAGCAAUUGACGUUACUCGCAGAARAAGCACCGGCUAACUCCGUGCCAGCAGCCGCGGUAAUACGGAGGGUGCAAGCGUUAAUCGGAAUUACUGGGMGUAMAGCGCACGCAGGCGGUCUGUCAAGUCGGAUGYGAAAUCCCCGGGCUCAACCUGGGAACUGCAUCCSAAACUGGCASGCUASAGYCUUGUAKASGGGGGUAGAAUU
This 639-nucleotide ribosomal RNA is filed under the name Citrobacter freundii. RNAcentral's name for it is "partial 16S ribosomal RNA". It matches the Rfam family "Bacterial small subunit ribosomal RNA", at positions 44 to 668 of the family's 1533-position model. The record is from RNAcentral. Lineage: Bacteria; Pseudomonadati; Pseudomonadota; Gammaproteobacteria; Enterobacterales; Enterobacteriaceae.